RNAcentral lists this transfer RNA (75 nucleotides) under Thermaurantimonas aggregans. Its description in RNAcentral is "tRNA-Pro". It matches the Rfam family "tRNA". Rfam says of the family: Transfer RNA (tRNA) molecules are approximately 80 nucleotides in length. Their secondary structure includes four short double-helical elements and three loops (D, anti-codon, and T loops). Further hydrogen bonds mediate the characteristic L-shaped molecular structure. tRNAs have two regions of fundamental functional importance: the anti-codon, which is responsible for specific mRNA codon recognition, and the 3' end, to which the tRNAs corresponding amino acid is attached (by aminoacyl-tRNA synthetases). tRNAs cope with the degeneracy of the genetic code in two manners: having more than one tRNA (with a specific anti-codon) for a particular amino acid; and 'wobble' base-pairing, i.e. permitting non-standard base-pairing at the 3rd anti-codon position. The record is from RNAcentral. Lineage: Bacteria; Pseudomonadati; Bacteroidota; Flavobacteriia; Flavobacteriales; Schleiferiaceae.
CGGGAUGUAGCGCAGUUGGUAGCGCACCUGGUUUGGGACCAGGGGGUCCCAGGUUCGAGUCCUGGUAUCCCGACC